This 939-nucleotide ribosomal RNA is filed under the name Triticum aestivum (bread wheat). RNAcentral describes it as "partial small subunit ribosomal RNA". Lineage: Eukaryota; Viridiplantae; Streptophyta; Magnoliopsida; Poales; Poaceae. The record is from RNAcentral.
AUGACCUCACCGGCGGGGCCGAGCAGCAUGGGCAUGAACACGGUGACCACGGUGAUGGCCUUCUCGGUCAGCGCCUUCUUCGUGCUCUUCGUCUUCACCAGGCUCUUCUGCGCGCGCAUCCACCUCAGGGCCGCCGCGGCGGAGCACGCCGCUGCCGCCCAGGCCAGCGACGCCGUGUCCUUCCCGGCCAUUCACGUGGAGCGCGGCAUCCGUGGGAUGGAGCCGUCCAUGGUGACCACCUUCCCGACGGCCAAGUUCGGGACCGGCGACGACUCGCAGCGGCCGCCCGCUCAGGAGGAGUCACAGUGCACGGUGUGCCUGGAGGAGUACGAGGCCAAGGACGUGGUGCGCGUGCUGCCCUACUGCGGCCACGCCUUCCACGCCGCCUGCAUCGACACCUGGCUCCGGCAGCACCCCACCUGCCCCAUAUGCCGCUCCACCACCAAGCACCGCGCCGCCGCCGGGACAAUGCCGCCCGUGUACUACGCCGUCGCCAUGGCGCCGCCGCCGUUCCAGGCGCCGACAUCUUCGUCAGAUCAGGGCGCACUGCAGCAAGCAGACGCAGCCACGGCGGCGGUGGGCGCGGAGCACAUGGACGUAACGUCCAGCCGUCUGGAGCUGGAGAUCGUUAUUUCCGACGAGUCGGCCUCCUCCGGCGCCACCUGUCCGAUCGCGACCCUUGCUCCGCCAUUCCAGGUCCCGACGUCUUCGUCGGACCACGACGCGCUGCGCGAAGCAAACCCAGCCACGGCGUCGGUGACUGCGGCGGUGGGCACAGACCGUAUGGACGUGUUGUCCACCCGUUUGGAGAUCGUUAUUUCCGACGAGCCGGCCUCCUCCGACGCUCCCUGUCAGAGCACGGCCAGUGAGGAGCAUCCUUGUGCCGAGACGAGGAGGCAGAGCUCGCAGGGCAAUGCGUGGGAGCAUCGCCAGUGCUGA